RNAcentral lists this ribosomal RNA (198 nucleotides) under uncultured bacterium. Its description in RNAcentral is "partial 16S ribosomal RNA". It matches the Rfam family "Bacterial small subunit ribosomal RNA", at positions 328 to 539 of the family's 1533-position model. The record is from RNAcentral.
ACGCUCGACACCUACGAGAGGCAGCAGUGGGGAAUAUUGCACAAUGGGGGAAACCCUGAUGCAGCGACGCCGCGUGAGCGAAGAAGUAUUUCGGUAUGUAAAGCUCUAUCAGCAGGGAAGAAAAUGACGGUACCUGACUAAGAAGCCCCGGCUAACUACGUGCCAGCAGCCACGGUAAUCUGAGCGGGCUGGCAAGGC